This 86-nucleotide transfer RNA is filed under the name Variovorax sp. RNAcentral's name for it is "tRNA-Asn". RNAcentral also lists the same sequence under 1 other name. Lineage: Bacteria; Pseudomonadati; Pseudomonadota; Betaproteobacteria; Burkholderiales; Comamonadaceae. The record is from RNAcentral.
CGGUGCGGUAGAGCGCGGCCGUCAGCGCCACGUGCUUGUUGAGCACGUCCCACUUGGUGCCGAGUUCGUAGGUCUUGGCCUUCUGC